UACGUAGGGUGCGAGCGUUAAUCGGAAUUACUGGGCGUAAAGCGUGCGCAGGCGGUUUUGUAAGCCAGAUGUGAAAUCCCCGGGCUUAACCUGGGAAUGGCAUUUGGGACUGCAAGGCUUGAGUGCGGCAGAGGAGACUGGAAUUCCCGGUGUAGCAGUGAAAUGCGUAGAUAUCGGGAGGAAUACCGAUGGCGAAGGCAGUUCUCUAGUACGGUACUGACGCUGAGACGCGAAAGCGUGGGGAGCGAACAGG
Molecule: ribosomal RNA, 253 nt
Filed under: uncultured bacterium
Lineage: Bacteria
Description: partial 16S ribosomal RNA
Rfam family: Bacterial small subunit ribosomal RNA
Source: RNAcentral